UACAGAGGUCCCAAGCGUUGUUCGGAUUCACUGGGCGUAAAGGGUGCGUAGGUGGUGAGGUAAGUCGGAUGUGAAAUCUCGGAGCUUAACUCCGAAAUGGCAUUGGAAACUACCUUGCUCGAGGGUUGGAGGGGGGACUGGAAUACUUGGUGUAGCAGUGAAAUGCGUAGAUAUCAAGUGGAACACCAGUGGCGAAGGCGAGUCCCUGGACAACUCCUGACACUGAGGCACGAAAGCUAGGGGAGCAAACAGG
This 253-nucleotide ribosomal RNA is filed under the name uncultured bacterium. Its description in RNAcentral is "partial 16S ribosomal RNA". It matches the Rfam family "Bacterial small subunit ribosomal RNA", at positions 524 to 776 of the family's 1533-position model. The record is from RNAcentral.